This 176-nucleotide ribosomal RNA is filed under the name uncultured Pelotomaculum sp. Its description in RNAcentral is "partial 16S ribosomal RNA". It matches the Rfam family "Bacterial small subunit ribosomal RNA", at positions 1207 to 1382 of the family's 1533-position model. The record is from RNAcentral. Lineage: Bacteria; Bacillati; Bacillota; Clostridia; Eubacteriales; Desulfotomaculaceae.
UUCUGGGCUACACACGUGCUACAAUGGCCGGUACAGACGGACGCAAAGCCGCGAGGCGGAGCAAAUCCGAAAAAGCCGGUCUCAGUUCGGAUUGCAGGCUGCAAUUCGCCUGCAUGAAGUCGGAAUCGCUAGUAAUCGCAGGUCAGCAUACUGCGGUGAAUACGUUCCCGGGCCUU